RNAcentral lists this ribosomal RNA (440 nucleotides) under uncultured bacterium. Its description in RNAcentral is "partial 16S ribosomal RNA". It matches the Rfam family "Bacterial small subunit ribosomal RNA", at positions 338 to 795 of the family's 1533-position model. The record is from RNAcentral.
CCUACGGGAGGCAGCAGUGGGGAAUAUUGCACAAUGGGGGAAACCCUGAUGCAGCGACGCCGCGUGAGUGAAGAAGUAUCUCGGUCCGUAAAGCGCUGUCAGCAGGGAAGUAAAUGACGGUACCUGACUAAGAAGCCACGGCUAACUACGUGCCAGCAGGCGCGGUAAUACGUAGGGGGCAAGCGUUAUCCGGCUUUACUGGGUGUAAAGGGAGCGUAGACGGCAGCAAAGGUCUGGAGUGAAAUCGCGGGGCUUAACCCCGGAAUUUCUUUGGAAACUGUGCGGCUGGAGUGCAGGAGGGGUAAGCGGAAUUCCUAGUGUAGCGGUGAAAUGCGUAGAUAUAAGGAGGAACACCGGUGGCGAAGGCGGCUUACUGGACUGUAACUGACGUUGAGGCUCGAAAGCGUGGGGAGCAAACAGGAUUAGAUACCCUAGUAGUC